CUUCCGUGCAUAGAAUAAAUAUGAAAGGAGACAAAGGAUCUCCUUGUCGUAAACCUCUCCCUGGGACUAUGUUUCCCCUUGGUUCACAUAAAAUUCUGUAAGAUUAUAUAUGAUCUGUAAUGUAAAGAUUUUGAUUUUAAUCAGUUAUAAUAACAAGCAGCGUGGUCUAAUCAUACAAUGUGUUCGCAUAACGGUAUCAAUAUCGUCGUUUGUAUGCCCACUUGAAUCAAAGGUAACAUACAACAAAAAAUUUAAGUUUGAUUAGUUACAAAAACAAAAACAAAAAUUAAGUUUGAUAUUCUCAAGUGUUAACUUGUUAUAAGAUUAUAUCAAAGCUUGUGACUUGUGAGGAGUAGACAUCAAAAUGGAGCAUAUAAACAGUUUUUUUUUUGUUAACAGAAUUGAUCCUUGAACUUAAGUUAGUUUGUAUUUAGUAGAGGUUAAUUAAUAUAUUAUAUAUCUUACAUCUUGUAUAUUUAGGACAAACUGCCCACAUAAAAAUAUAACACCAACACACACUGCAUAUAUAUAUAUAUAUAUAAUUUAAAAAUAAAAACGAUAUAUAUUAUAAUGGUGUAUCUGGAUGUGCCAUUGAUUAGCAUAGCGGAUGAUAAAGCAUUAGCAGUAUGAUAUAGAAACAAUAUGCUGUAGAAGCUGUAUGUUUUUGUUCAGAUUGAAUGUAAUCACGAGUAUUAAUAUGAUCGAUCGAUAGAAGUUAAGUGUUUAGCAAAGUUUUAUUUUCCUCUUUAAUUUCUUUUUCAGAUCUAAUGUAUUUACAAGAAUUAAAAUCACCCAAUUUCGACAAAUUUUUCUUGUAAUCUACACAUUAAAAAUAAAGAGAGUCAUUUUUUACUUUGAAAUGCAUUAGUUGAUAAUAUAUGCAUUACGAAAAUAAUUUUAUGGAAUGAUAUGAUAUUUUUCUUGAAGUUUAAUAUUAAAUAUGUUAUUUCUAUUUAAAAUUUCUAUUUAAUAUAACAUUUUAUUAAUUGAUAUUGUUGUAAUAUUUUUAUAUAUGUACUAGUUAUUUAUAAAAUUUUAUGAAUUUAAAUUAAUUAUGACAAGUAUAAGGAUCAUAGUAUAAAAUAUAAAAAAUAUUGAAAUUGAGUUUGAAAUUUUGCUUUUUUGGAGAAGAACACCUCUAAAUUUCAAAUAUAUAAUUUUAGAAAAUUUAAAAAUAAAAUGUCUUUUUGGAGAUACUGUUAUAUUAUGUCAUUUCUUCAAUGAAUGACUGUCUAGAAAGUGAAUAUGAAACUUGUAGACUUUACUCUUUUAUAAUCUUGUUUACUACUAUACCGAUGAACAAGGUUUUGUCUGGUUUUCCUCUAACUACCGCGAAGCUUAAUGCAAAAAGUUAAAGACCAGCAAUUAACUUGUUAAAGUCUUUUUUCAAAAAAAAAAAAAAAACUUGUUAAAGUCUGAGCCUCAACUAUAUUUCUUCAUAAAAAACUAUAUAAACUGUAUCAACUCUCGCUCAAGUUCAUGUCUAUUUGACACUUAACUAGUAUACGCUUUAAGAGUUACAAAAUAUCUUAAUCUAAGUGGACACGUUUAUUGCUAUACUCAGACUCAAACUAGAGUUAUUUUCAUAGAAGUUAUUGUAACACUGAGAGGUAGUUAUUGCUAGUGGAGCAGUUUAUUUGUGAAAGGACUCAAUUUGGUCUCAACCAAACCGUAACUAGCGGGCUUAGAGUUAGCAUUUGUGCUUUAGUGUUUAGUUGGGCUUUUGAAUUUCGAAUUUUAAACUUUUGUGGCCGACCCGAGUUAAAGGGUAAACCAAAAUUGACUUAGCGGUUGUGUAAAAUAUUAAAUUUUUUACUUUUGCUGGUUCUUUUAUCGAGGGGGAAAGAAAAAACCGUAAAGGCGAUUUCCGGCGAAAAAAGUUCACGGGAGAACACAAUGUCGAGGCGGCGGAGUCUUCGUAGGGAAGACAAGGGUGAGGCAAGCACGAUCGCUAGGCGGCGGAGUCUGCGUGACAAAGACAAGGCUGAGGAUACAACGGAGGUGGAGGACGUUAAGGAAAGUCUACCUAAAAGGCUUUUUGCAACAUCGUUUCCUCAGUGAGAGGGUUAACAUGUACUCAACUAUAGACAAUCUGUUCUUCGUCAGAGACACACUAAACGGAAAGGCGGAUAUGGCGGAAUUAAUGGGCUCUUGCUUCGGAAGCCUUUUUAGGUUGCCUGUCCGGUGGCUGUUGACGGGUAAAGUGGUUCCCGGUAUGUUGACUAGGCAAGUUGUAACGAAGAAAAAGUACAAAAUGUGGCCUGUUUUCUGAGGGAAACCGCUGAGGUUCUCUUUGGUGCAGUUUGGGGAAGUGACUGGUUUGCCCUGUGGUGAAUUUGAAGAUGGGUAUAACAUCGACUACGAGCUGCCCCUGACGGAGGAGAACUACGCUUACUGGGAGAAGUUGAUUGGUACUGACCGGGAGGUCCUAAUUGAAGAUCUUGUGAGGAUGGUUUUAGGCGAUGUUGUGAUGCCUGGUUGUGCAAGUUGAGGUUGUGUUUGAUUAUAAUUGUUGAUGGUGUUUUGGUGCCUACGGCGCAAAAACCAAGGCCUAGUCUGAAGCAUGUGAAUUUGGUGAAGAAUCUGAAGAAGUUUUUUGCUUUCCAAUGGGGUAGGGAGUCAUUUAUGUGGGCUAUUAGGACGAUGAAGCCAGGCCCGAAGGAAAUGGGGAAAUGUGAGGACCCAAAUGGAGAGUUCUGUAUCAGACAAAAUAGUAUCAGACUAUUGGGUUUCCCUCUGGCCCUGCUGUUGGUGGCUUUCGAGGCCAUUCCCCUCCUUCUUAACCGAGCUGGUGGCGAUGAUAGCAUAACUUUGUUGAACUAUCCAGGGCAGGUUUUGCCUCAGCAUGCAGGCUUGAAUAUGGCUGAUUUGCGGAAAGCUAAACAUGAUCAUGGGCUGCUUGUACAGCCAAUGAUGGAGAUAAGUGGGACACAUGAGGAGCAGUGGGGAGUUUGGGAUGACUAGAAGUAUGACAAAAAGGUCGACUAUUUGCUUGGACUGAUUAAAGAAGGGCAUGGGUUGUCUAACUGGGGCGGUGGUGAUUCGGAGAACCAAUUUUUGUGUACCGUGAGAAAGCUGACAGAAAGUGAAUGGGGAGCUGUUUGUGGCGUAACAGCAGGACCCGUUCUAAAACAGAGACAGCUUAGUGGCUAUUUUAAAUGUGGAAUCAUCGUAGAUGCGGAAGAACACGCUAGGAUGGCAGCAUGUGUGGUAACUACUACAAUGGGAUUGCAUAAUUUUAUUAGAAUUUCAAAUUAUUUUGAUGAAGAUUUUGUUGAAGAAAUGGGACAUACAAAUACUAGCAACGAAUAUUCUGAAAGUGAUAUAAGUGACAUGGAGACAACAAAUAUGGCUGAUGGAGAUCAUAUGAAAAACAUUAGAGACAACAUUGCUGAUAUAUUAUGGGCAAAUCAUUAAAUUAUUUUAUUUUUGUUUAUAUAUUUUUUAUUAUGUGUUUUGAUGUUUUGGUGUAAUUUUUAUGGUUUAAAUAUAUGAUAUGCACUUUUGAA
This is a long non-coding RNA of Brassica rapa (field mustard), 3509 nucleotides long. RefSeq lists it as uncharacterized. Lineage: Eukaryota; Viridiplantae; Streptophyta; Magnoliopsida; Brassicales; Brassicaceae. The record is from RefSeq and is a predicted model, not a curated record.